RNAcentral lists this small nucleolar RNA (126 nucleotides) under Salmo trutta (river trout). RNAcentral describes it as "Small nucleolar RNA SNORA17 (ENSSTUG00000040749.1)". The record is from Rfam by way of RNAcentral. Lineage: Eukaryota; Metazoa; Chordata; Actinopteri; Salmoniformes; Salmonidae.
UCUGUCCCCCCUGGCCCAGGGCCCACAUAGACAGACAGCGUGAGACAACAGCUAUGUGGGCCCUGGGCCAGGGGGGGACAGAGAGAGAGAGAGAGAGUGUGAGACAACAGCUGUCUCUCUGACCCA